RNAcentral lists this long non-coding RNA (703 nucleotides) under Homo sapiens (human). RNAcentral's name for it is "long intergenic non-protein coding RNA 1905". Lineage: Eukaryota; Metazoa; Chordata; Mammalia; Primates; Hominidae. The record is from RNAcentral.
GGGUCUGGAACAUAGUAAGUCCUCAAUAAGUUCUAGCAAUUAUUAAAAAAGGAAAGGCUGUCUGCAAACAGGUGAUCUCAGAAGGGGGUUUGUGCCUCUCUAGGAAGGAAGCCUCAUUGUGGACAUCUGGGAGCAGGUACAUCCCAGCCUUCUUGCACAUAGAAACACUACACAGCACUUCAGCUGUAUGUUUGGGGGCCAUUUUAAACAGCAAAAUCAUCAACAGGAAGCAGAAAAUUGUAAAAAUUGUGGCACUAAAUAGACCAUGUAAAGGACACAUGUUUGCAAUAAGAAAGCUGAAACAAGAAGGGGGAGUGUCACCUUAUUUGAUCCAGCUAGAAACUCAGGUGCUGGUAUUCCAGCAACACUCAGGCGGCUGCUCCAGGAGGCUGCAGAGGGGUCCUUUUUAGCCGUCAACAAAACUGGCUAUGGUCACGCCCAUUGGGAAACUCAUUGCUGCCUUCAAGGUGAUGGCCACAGUGGCAGAACCUAGGAAGCCAAGAAGAAACCAGAGAAUGGAGACACAUGGCAGCAAUGGCAAGUCAUCAGACCCAGGAUUUCCCAAAGAACACUGGUCCAGGAAGAUGCUCUGUGAAAAAGUGUUCCCUGGUCGGAGAAAUUUGUGAAACACUUUGCAUAAUACUUAAAAGAAUGUAUGGCACAUCAAAGGUAAUAUGCAAUAAAAGAAUUCAUUUUUUUAAAA